Molecule: ribosomal RNA, 498 nt
Filed under: uncultured bacterium
Lineage: Bacteria
Description: bacterial SSU rRNA
Rfam family: Bacterial small subunit ribosomal RNA
Source: RNAcentral
ACUCAAAGGAAUUGACGGGGGCCCGCACAAGCGGAGGAACAUGUGGUUUAAUUCGAUGAUACGCGAGGAACCUUACCCGGGAUUGAAAUGAAGUGGAAUAACGGUGAAAGUCGUUAGCCAGCAAUGGCCACUUUGUAGGUGCUGCAUGGUUGUCGUCAGCUCGUGCCGUGAGGUGUCGGCUUAAGUGCCAUAACGAGCGCAACCCUGACUGUCAGUUGCUAACAGGUAAAGCUGAGGACUCUGGCGGGACUGCCGGCGUAAGCUGUGAGGAAGGUUGGGAUGACGUCAAAUCAGCACGGCCCUUACAUCCGGGGCGACACACGUGUUACAAUGGCACGGACAAAGGGUUGCUACCUGGUGACAGGAUGCUAAUCUCUAAACCGUGUCUCAGUUCGGAUCGGAGUCUGCAACUCGACUCCGUGAAGCUGGAUUCGCUAGUAAUCGCGCAUCAGCCAUGGCGCGGUGAAUACGUUCCCGGGCCUUGUACACACCGCCCGU